GUGCAAAGGCAUAAGCUAGCUUGACUGCGAGAGUGACGGCUCGAGCAGGUGCGAAAGCAGGUCUUAGUGAUCCGGUGGUUCUGAAUGGAAGGGCCAUCGCUCAACGGAUAAAAGGUACUCCGGGGAUAACAGGCUGAUACCGCCCAAGAGUUCAUAUCGACGGCGGUGUUUGGCACCUCGAUGUCGGCUCAUCACAUCCUGGGGCUGAAGUAGGUCCCAAGGGUAUGGCUGUUCGCCAUUUAAAGUGGUACGCGAGCUGGGUUUAGAACGUCGUGAGACAGUUCGGUCCCUAUCUGCCGUGGGCGCUGGAGAAUUGAGGGGGGCUGCUCCUAGUACGAGAGGACCGGAGUGGACGCAUCACUGGUGUUCGGGUUGUCAUGCCAAUGGCAUUGCCCGGUAGCUAAAUGCGGAAGAGAUAAGUGCUGAAAGCA
This 431-nucleotide ribosomal RNA is filed under the name Citrobacter freundii. RNAcentral's name for it is "partial 23S ribosomal RNA". It matches the Rfam family "Bacterial large subunit ribosomal RNA", at positions 2349 to 2779 of the family's 2925-position model. The record is from RNAcentral. Lineage: Bacteria; Pseudomonadati; Pseudomonadota; Gammaproteobacteria; Enterobacterales; Enterobacteriaceae.